AACGAUGUGGUUUAUCAAGAAUAUUGGGUUUGCGUCUCAAAGGUGGAAAUUUUCUCUUCGUUA
This 63-nucleotide transfer RNA is filed under the name Rhodobothrium cf. paucitesticulare DJM-2021. Its description in RNAcentral is "tRNA-Ala". Lineage: Eukaryota; Metazoa; Platyhelminthes; Cestoda; Rhinebothriidea; Rhinebothriidae. The record is from RNAcentral.